GAUGAACGCUGGCGGCGUGCCUAAUACAUGCAAGUCGAGCGAACAGACGAGGCGCUUGCUCCUCUGACGUUAGCGGCGGACGGGUGAGUCACACGUGGAUAACCUACCUAUCAGACUGGGAUAACUUCGGGAAACCGGAGCUAAUACCGGAUAAUAUAUUGAACCACAUGGUUCAAUAGUGAAAGUCGGUUUUGCUGUCACUUAUCGAUGGAUCCGCGCCGCAUUGGCUAGUUGGUAAGGUCACGGCUUACGAAGGCAGCGAGGCGUAGACGACCUGAUAGGGGGAUAGGCGACACUGGAACGUGAACACCGUCCAUACUCCUGCGGGAGGCAGCAGUAGGGAACCGGCCGCAAUGGGCGAAAGCCUUACGGAGUAACGCCGCGUGAGAUAUGAAGGUCUUCGGAGCGUAAAACUCUGUUAUUAGGGAAGAACAAAUUUGUAAGUAACUAUGCACGUCUUGACGGUACCUAAUCAGAAAGCCACGGCUAACUACGUG
Molecule: ribosomal RNA, 497 nt
Filed under: uncultured bacterium
Lineage: Bacteria
Description: partial 16S ribosomal RNA
Rfam family: Bacterial small subunit ribosomal RNA
Source: RNAcentral